UAGCAAUACGAUGGAAAGUUUAGUGGCGAACGGGUGCUUAACACGUGGGCAACCUGCCAGGAAGUGGGGGAUAGCUCGCCGAAAGGCGAAUUAAUACCGCAUGUGAUUAGAGAGGACAUCCUUUCGAAAUUAAAGUCGGGGCAACCUGACGCUUCUUGUGGGGCCCGCGGCCUAUCAGCUAGUUGGUGGGGUAAUGGCUCACCAAGGCUUUGACGGGUAGCUGGUCUGAGAGGACGACCAGCCACACUGGGACUGAGACACGGCCCAGACACCUACGGGUGGCAGCAGUCGAGAAUUUUUGACAAUGGGGGAAACCCUGAUCGAGCGACGCCGCGUGGAGGAUGAAGGUCUUCGGAUUGUAAACUCCUGUCAUUGGGGAACAAUGCACAGAUAUUAACUGUAUUUGUGUUGAUAGUACCCGAAGAGGAAGAGACGGCUAACUCUGUGCCAGCAGCCGCGGUAAUACAGAGGUCUCAAGCGUUGUUCGGAUUCAUUGGGCGUAAAGGGUGCGUAGGCGGCGCGGUAAGUCGGGUGUGAAAUCUUGGAGCUUAACUCCGAAACUGCAUUCGAUACUGCCGUGCUUGAGGACUGGAGAGGAGACUGGAAUUCUCGGUGUAGCA
RNAcentral lists this ribosomal RNA (620 nucleotides) under uncultured Verrucomicrobiota bacterium. Its description in RNAcentral is "bacterial SSU rRNA". It matches the Rfam family "Bacterial small subunit ribosomal RNA", at positions 77 to 680 of the family's 1533-position model. The record is from RNAcentral. Lineage: Bacteria; Pseudomonadati; Verrucomicrobiota.